AGACGGAGGGAGCAAGCGUUGCUCGGAAUCACUGGGCGUAAAGGGCGUGUAGGCGGGACAGCAAGUCGGGUGUGAAAGCCCUGGGCUCAACCCAGGAAGGGCAUUCGAUACUACUGUUCUUGAGUAUGUCAGAGGAAAGCGGAAUUCCCGGUGUAGCGGUGAAAUGCGUAGAUAUCGGGAAGAACACCUGUGGCGAAGGCGGCUUUCUGGGUCACAACUGACGCUGAGGCGCGAAAGCUAGGGGAGCGAACGGGAUUAGAAACCCCGGUAGUCC
Molecule: ribosomal RNA, 274 nt
Filed under: uncultured bacterium
Lineage: Bacteria
Description: partial 16S ribosomal RNA
Rfam family: Bacterial small subunit ribosomal RNA
Source: RNAcentral